Molecule: unclassified non-coding RNA, 217 nt
Filed under: uncultured Nocardiaceae bacterium
Lineage: Bacteria; Bacillati; Actinomycetota; Actinomycetes; Mycobacteriales; Nocardiaceae
Description: contains 16S-23S intergenic spacer region
Source: RNAcentral
UCCGAGUUGACCCCGGCAGUCUCCUGCGAGUCCCCGCCAUUACGCGCUGGCAACACAGGACAAGGGUUGCGCUCGUUGCGGGACUUAACCCAACAUCUCACGACACGAGCUGACGACAGCCAUGCACCACCUGUAUACCGACCACAAGGGGGGCCACAUCUCUGCAGCUUUCCGGUAUAUGUCAAACCGGAGGAAGGUGGGGAUGACGUCAGGAUAG